CGUUGAUACUCUUCUGUGUCUGCCAUGUGGCUGGUCACCUCUCCUGAGUUGCAUACUGAGUGCAGGUAGGACAUCUUCGUGCACCUCACUCUUUGUCAGCGUUCCUGUAUUUCUGCCAGAUGUCCCACCUUUGCUAUAGGCCACUCAGCUCUUUAUUGACAAGUGACACUUUUACACAGUGCACAAGAGAUUGUCUUCCCCUACAGUGCAAGGCUUACAGGUGUGCACCACCAGGCCAUUAAACAUGUUCAAGUGUGUAAAUUUGAUGUGCCCUUUGGUCGUAUUUAGAUCCUUCAUGAAUAAUUCUUGAUGCCUAAGUCAACAGCUCCAUGCAUUUAUGGGUCAACAAAUUUCUGUUAAGUCUGUGGGCCUUCAGUCACGGCAGCUCCAGCAGCCUUGGGCAGCUGGCAGGAGGUAGCCUCUGCUUGCACAGUGCCCGCCCGUGUACUGGGUCUAGUGGUGCACGUUUGCUAGGCUCCUCCUGUGAUAGGGAGCUAUGGUCCUGCGUUCUCUGUACAGGGACAAAUCUCAAGAAGAAAGUGACUAAAGUUCCUUGCAGAAAGUACUUGGUUCAGAAGUAGACAGCCUCAAAGAGUAUCCAAGUUGGGCUACACUUACUGUCAAAUAUGGUGGAGAUAAGACUUGGCUAGCUGUAAUUAGGCAAGUUAAAAUUG
Molecule: long non-coding RNA, 674 nt
Filed under: Rattus norvegicus (Norway rat)
Lineage: Eukaryota; Metazoa; Chordata; Mammalia; Rodentia; Muridae
Description: long non-coding RNA NONRATT027278
Source: RNAcentral